GUCGACCCCUAAGGCGAGGCCGAAAGGCGUAGUCGAUGGGAAACAGGUUAAUAUUCCUGUACUUGGUGUUACUGCGAAGGGGGGACGGAGAAGGCUAUGUUGGCCGGGCGACGGUUGUCCCGGUUUAAGCGUGUAGGCUGGUUUUCCAGGCAAAUCCGGAAAAUCAAGGCUGAGGCGUGAUGACGAGGCACUACGGUGCUGAAGCAACAAAUGCCAUGCUUCCAGGAAAAGCCUCUAAGCAUCAGGUAACAUCAAAUCGUACCCCAAACCGACACAGGUGGUCAGGUAGAGAAUACCAAGGCGCUUGAGAGAACUCGGGUGAAGGAACUAGGCAAAAUGGUGCCGUAACUUCGGGAGAAGGCACGCUGAUAUGUAGGUGAAGCGACUUGCUCGUGGAGCUGAAAUCAGUCGAAGAUACCAGCUGGCUGCAACUGUUUAUUAAAAACACAGCACUGUGCAAACACGAAAGUGGACGUAUACGGUGUGACGCCUGCCCGGUGCCGGAAGGUUAAUUGAUGGGGUCAGCGCAAGCGAAGCUCUUGAUCGAAGCCCCGGUAAACGGCGGCCGUAACUAUAACGGUCCUAAGGUAGCGAAAUUCCUUGUCGGGUAAGUUCCGACCUGCACGAAUGGCGUAAUGAUGGCCAGGCUGUCUCCACCCGAGACUCAGUGAAAUUGAACUCGCUGUGAAGAUGCAGUGUACCCGCGGCAAGACGGAAAGACCCCGUGAACCUUUACUAUAGCUUGACACUGAACAUUGAGCCUUGAUGUGUAGGAUAGGUGGGAGGCUUAGAAGUGUGGACGCCAGUCUGCAUGGAGCCGACCUUGAAAUACCACCCUUUAAUGUUUGAUGUUCUAACGUUGACCCGUAAUCCGGGUUGCGGACAGUGUCUGGUGGGUAGUUUGACUGGGGCGGUCUCCUCCUAAAGAGUAACGGAGGAGCACGAAGGUUGGCUAAUCCUGGUCGGACAUCAGGAGGUUAGUGCAAUGGCAUAAGCCAGCUUGACUGCGAGCGUGACGGCGCGAGCAGGUGCGAAAGCAGGUCAUAGUGAUCCGGUGGUUCUGAAUGGAAGGGCCAUCGCUCAACGGAUAAAAGGUACUCCGGGGAUAACAGGCUGAUACCGCCCAAGAGUUCAUAUCGACGGCGGUGUUUGGCACCUCGAUGUCGGCUCAUCACAUCCUGGGGCUGAAGUAGGUCCCAAGGGUAUGGCUGUUCGCCAUUUAAAGUGGUACGCGAGCUGGGUUUAGAACGUCGUGAGACAGUUCGGUCCCUAUCUGCCGUGGGCGCUGGAGAACUGAGGGGGGCUGCUCCUAGUACGAGAGGACCGGAGUGGACGCAUCACUGGUGUUCGGGUUGUCAUGCCAAUGGCACUGCCCGGUAGCUAAAUGCGGAAGAGAUAAGUGCUGAAAGCAUCUAAGCACGAAACUUGCCCCGAGAUGAGUUCUCCCUGACCCUUUAAGGGUCCUGAAGGAACGUUGAAGACGACGACGUUGAUAGGCCGGGUGUGUAAGCGCAGCGAUGCGUUGAGCUAACCGGUACUAAUGAACCGUGAG
RNAcentral lists this ribosomal RNA (1552 nucleotides) under Escherichia coli. RNAcentral describes it as "partial 23S ribosomal RNA". It matches the Rfam family "Bacterial large subunit ribosomal RNA", at positions 1383 to 2915 of the family's 2925-position model. Lineage: Bacteria; Pseudomonadati; Pseudomonadota; Gammaproteobacteria; Enterobacterales; Enterobacteriaceae. The record is from RNAcentral.